Anthonomus grandis grandis is the source of this 1145-nucleotide long non-coding RNA. RefSeq lists it as uncharacterized. The transcript has 2 exons. Lineage: Eukaryota; Metazoa; Arthropoda; Insecta; Coleoptera; Curculionidae. The record is from RefSeq and is a predicted model, not a curated record.
UAAAAAUUAGGAUGUGUAUUUCAGUGCUUUGUUAUCCACUGCAGGUCCAACUGUUUCUUGUAAAAAGUCUGAUAUGCCAUUAAUUAGAGUAAAAAUCUAAAAAAAUUUAAGUAGGUAAGUAAUAAAAGUCUUAAAUACCUUACACACAAAUAUACAGAUUGAUAAGAGUAGUAAAUUAAUUUGCAUGUUGCUCGAUAAAGUGAAACAUUGAAGAAUGAAAUUUUAUCUGUUAACAUAAAGGACCCUGUACAAUAAGGCAUUAAGCUAUAUGCAAAUAUUAUCUUUAUAUUGAAAAGCUCAGGGUUCUAAUAAAUCAUGUUGUAACAAUAAUAUACUGUGAAGCCUAAAGUUAUCUCACAAGAAUUUUCUGUCAGCACUGAAAAGACAGGUGUUAAAAUAAAUGUUUAUAAUAGACUAGAUAAGCAAUAAUUUACAAUAUUUACCUGACAAUCUAAACCCAAAUAUAAAAUGUUUCUUAUCUUGACCAUGAGGAACUAAUUUGUCUUACACAUUAUAUAAAUGCCUCAUUAUACCCAAUUUAACUAUCAAAUUAAAAUGUUGCAGAAAAUAAUUAUAACUGUCAUGCUGUUAAGCAUGCUUUUCAGUAUCCACAACACCUCUCCUCUAGAACGAAAGCAUAACCUCACAACAAGCAUUGCUAACUUACAAAAAGUUCUACUGCAAAAGAACAAUGAACUAAUAUUCAGAUCUAGCAACACCAGUGCAACAGUUAUAAUAAGCGCAGUACAAACAAUAGUGGAUAAUAUUAUAGCAAACAUUGGUACCUCAGUUAGCUCAUUAAUUAGCAGUGUUACCCCUUUAGCAACGACACUGCAAACCGACCUAGUGAGCCCAGUGUUAAGUUUAAUAAAUACUUUAAGUUCUUUAACAUUUAUUCAGGCAGUGCCCAAUGUGUAUGCUGUACUUUUAGUCGCACAGAUUGUAUUAACGAUUGGUAAUGCCACAUUGGGGAGUGCCGACAGUAUAGGAACUGUUACUACUAGCCUUUUUGGGUCUAUACAGUCUAGUGUAGAUUCAAUUUUCAGUUUGAUACUUAGUUUUGUGUAAGACUGUUUAUGUAUUAUAGUACGAAUUAUGUUCAAUUGUAUUUAAUGUUUGGAUGGUUAGUAAAAGUUUGUUUUAAA